UCAUAGUGGAUAAUUAGGAACAGACCACAUUAUCUCAUUUAUUCUCACACCAUUCUCUGAAACUAAAGUAGGAACAUUAUCCAGAACCUUGAAUGGUAAAGAUCAAGGACUGUAAGGGGCUACAACCCUGGAGGAGGGAGGAUGAGGGGCCGGGCCAGGCUGUGAAAUGCCACAUGGUAGGUGUCCUGCCCCCACCAGGCCACAUGUGCUUCCUCAUUUUAAUUCUCAAGACCACAUGAAGUUGUUGUCCCCAUUUUACAGAUGAGUCCAGGGAUCUGAGAGGUUAAUAAACAUGCCAAGGAUACACAUCUGGAAAAUAACAGAGCUAGGAGGUAUACCUGAGAUUUUACCUCACCCCAAACCCUUGUCUCUUUCCACGAGAACCAGGAAGCUCACCAGAAAUCUCAUACAGCACAUAUAUGGAAAAAAAAAACUGAUUUGAUUGAUACAUAAUGAAAUUCCAGAAUUCAUUAACAGAACGAGAAGAAACCUGGAAUAUUUAUGGUGUAGGUUCCCAAUAGGCAGCUGUUCAGGUCCUUUCCUACCCUGCCUUUCCGCACUCCUCCUCUCAGUGAUUAGCCCAUAGGUCUGCCCAGGAUCCACACCUUAGAAUCAUCUUUGUUCCCUCUCUUUGCUCCUCUCCUCCUUUAUCAAAUUAGUGAUAACAAUUCUGUCUCUCUUAAGUUCUCAAUGUCUUUCACAUUUAUGCCCCCCACCCCCACACACAUGCACUCUUUUUUCUUAUAUAGGAGGCAGCAGCAUAAAUCAGGGAUGUGAAGCCUAAACUACUGCAUUAGCCUCCUCACCUAACUUUGCAUCUUGAAACUGCCAAUAUCUUGCAGCCAGAUUAAUUUUUAAAUAUUUGAGUGGUAUCAGAGGUUGUGCUUAUCUGCCAUGAGAGGCAAAAGAGCUAUAGCCCCAUCCUUUUGGAGCUUAUAAUCUAAUGAGUACACAGACAAAAACAUGCAAAGAAAUUCCAAAGACCACGGGCUGUAUCAGAUGAAUAGGGAGGAGGGGCGAGGCAAAAUGCAGAGUCCAGGAUGAGCUGUGG
This 1051-nucleotide long non-coding RNA is filed under the name Marmota monax (woodchuck). The record is from RNAcentral. Lineage: Eukaryota; Metazoa; Chordata; Mammalia; Rodentia; Sciuridae.